AUUGAACGCUGGCGGCAGGCUUAACACAUGCAAGUCGAGCGGGGAAGGGUAGCUUGCUACCUGACCUAGCGGCGGACGGGUGAGUAAUGCUUAGGAAUCUGCCUAUUAGUGGGGGACAACAUUCCGAAAGGAAUGCUAAUACCGCAUACGCCCUACGGGGGAAAGCAGGGGAUCUUCGGACCUUGCGCUAAUAGAUGAGCCUAAGUCAGAUUAGCUAGUUGGUGGGGUAAAGGCCUACCAAGGCGACGAUCUGUAGCGGGUCUGAGAGGAUGAUCCGCCACACUGGGACUGAGACACGGCCCAGACUCCUACGGGAGGCAGCAGUGGGGAAUAUUGGACAAUGGGCGCAAGCCUGAUCCAGCCAUGCCGCGUGUGUGAAGAAGGCCUUUUGGUUGCAAAGCACUUUAAGCGAGGAGGAGGCUACUUGGAUUAAUACUCUAGGAUAGUGGACGUUACUCGCAGAAUAAGCACCGGCUAAAUCUGUGCCAACAACCGCGGGAAUACAGAGGGUGCGAGCGUUAAUCGGAUUUACUGGGGGUAAAAACGUGCGUAGGCGGCUUUUUAGUCGGAUGUGAAAUCCCUGAAGCUUAACUUGGGAAGUGCGUGCGUAUGGGAAGGGAAGUGUGGGGGGAGGUGGGGAAAUCCGGUGUACAGUGAAACCGGGAGAAGGGGGCGGGGAAGUCGUGGGGAAGGGUCG
This 697-nucleotide ribosomal RNA is filed under the name uncultured Acinetobacter sp. Its description in RNAcentral is "bacterial SSU rRNA". It matches the Rfam family "Bacterial small subunit ribosomal RNA", at positions 28 to 723 of the family's 1533-position model. The record is from RNAcentral. Lineage: Bacteria; Pseudomonadati; Pseudomonadota; Gammaproteobacteria; Moraxellales; Moraxellaceae.